UAGGGAAUCUUCCGCAAUGGACGCAAGUCUGACGGAGCAACGCCGCGUGAGUGAAGAAGGAUUUCGGUUCGUAAAACUCUGUUGUUAGAGAAGAACAGCGCAUAGAGUAACUGUUAUGCGUGUGACGGUAUCUAACCAGAAAGCCACGGCUAACUACGUGCCAGCAGCCGCGGUAAUACGUAGGUCCCGAGCGUUGUCCGGAUUUAUUGGGCGUAAAGCGAGCGCAGGCGGUUAGAUAAGUCUGAAGUUAAAGGCAGUGGCUCAACCAUUGUAGGCGUUUGAAACUGUUUAACUUGAGUGCAGAAGGGGAGAGUGGAAUUCCAUGUGUAGCGGUGAAAUGCGUAGAUAUAUGGAGGAACACCGGUGGCGAAAGCGGCUCUCUGGUCUGUAACUGACGCUGAGGCUCGAAAGCGUGGGGAGCGAACAGG
RNAcentral lists this ribosomal RNA (428 nucleotides) under Bacteroidota bacterium. RNAcentral describes it as "Bacteroidetes bacterium partial 16S ribosomal RNA". It matches the Rfam family "Bacterial small subunit ribosomal RNA", at positions 355 to 776 of the family's 1533-position model. Lineage: Bacteria; Pseudomonadati; Bacteroidota. The record is from RNAcentral.